UACAGAGGUCUCAAGCGUUGUUCGGAUUCAUUGGGCGUAAAGGGUGUGUAGGUGGCGCCGUAAGUCGGGUGUGAAAUCUCGGGGCUUAACUCCGAAACUGCAUUCGAUACUGUGGUGCUUGAGGACUGGAGAGGAGACUGGAAUUCAUGGUGUAGCAGUGAAAUGCGUAGAUAUCCGGAGGAACACCGGUGGCGAAGGCGGCUUCCUGGACCGAUUACUGAGCUGAGGCGCGAAAAGCUAGGGGGAGCAAAACGGG
This 256-nucleotide ribosomal RNA is filed under the name uncultured bacterium. RNAcentral describes it as "partial 16S ribosomal RNA". It matches the Rfam family "Bacterial small subunit ribosomal RNA", at positions 524 to 777 of the family's 1533-position model. The record is from RNAcentral.